Long non-coding RNA from Daphnia pulicaria, 486 nucleotides. RefSeq lists it as uncharacterized. The record is from RefSeq and is a predicted model, not a curated record. The transcript is spliced from 3 exons. Lineage: Eukaryota; Metazoa; Arthropoda; Branchiopoda; Diplostraca; Daphniidae.
CUUCCUGUUUGACGGUUUGAAGCAGAAGUUUAUAUAAAGACCCGCGUGUGUAUUUCUUCUUUCAUUUUCAUUUUCCACUACGGUAAUCGGAUAAUGGCAGCUGAGACGUCGAAAAACUUCGUGCAAAAUUGGUGUAAAUAACCUGGCAAUGGUCAGAUGAUAGGCUGAAAGAUACCUUUCUUGUGCAAUGUGCAUCAUGGUGUUCGAGUUUGGAUGAGGUGUUCCCAGGUUGGAUGAGAUCGACUCAGGAGACACUGAGACAGCUGUGUUGCUUGCUUUUAUCAUACUAUGAUUGUCAAUAAGCAGGAUGUUUAAAUAAGAUGCAGGCAGCUGAUUCUGGGUGUUAUUCUAUUUGAAAUCUAGGUAACAAAGUAAACUUAACCACCUGAAAAUUUUUUUUUUCCCUUUGAUCUAGUUGUACUACAUUAAGUGCUGUGUAACCAUGGUAUGCAAGUGGAGACAGAAAAAUAAAAUUAUUGGAAGAAA